AUCCAUAUCAACAUCGAAGCAUCGGUUCUCGUACGAUCACCAAAGUUAAGCUACGUUGGGCCUUGUCAGUAACUAGAUGGGUGUCCACUUAGCAAUAGUAGGCGCUAU
This is a non-coding RNA of Acanthosepion pharaonis, 108 nucleotides long. The record is from the annotation of a GenBank genome assembly. Lineage: Eukaryota; Metazoa; Mollusca; Cephalopoda; Sepiida; Sepiidae.